CGGGAGCUCUGCAUUUGUACCCCCUGUUCCUGAGCCAAGGAGGACAAACAGUGGACCUGAAUUAUUUGUUUCCAGUUUUGUUCUGGUUUGGUUUUUUAGACUUCUAUGUUUGUGUGUACUUUACCGAACAAAGUGUCUUGGUGUCAGCACAAGUCUUAAGAACUUUGCUGCUUGUUCAGGGUUGCAGUGAAACCUCUCUGAUCCGUCCCUACGAUUAGAGCAGUGUGGGUCAUGCCUAGCACAGGAAAAUUAUAGUACUUAAACACUGCGUGGGGUUAAGAAAAUCAAUUUUUCAGCCUGCAGGCAGGAGUAGAAUUGAGAGGGUUUUUUUUUUCUCAGAUGCCAAUUAAAAACUGGUACAGAACUGCAUAGAGUGACUGUGGCUGCCUCUUCCCAAAAACCAUGUGGCGAAGUAGUAAUGCUGAUUUGAAACAAUGAAAGGGAAACGUUAAGAAUGAAGGUGUGGCAGCAAAAAAUCUUUUCUGGGACAACAAUCAAAUAUAUAUUUGGGGGGUUUAUUUUUUUAAGUUAAGAAUGAAAUGUAAAACAAUGUAAAAACAAAAAAAUACAAAGCUCAUCCUAAUAUAAUGUGCGUCUUGUAUUGCUGAAAAAAAAAAAGAGUCUAACAUACAGUGUAAAAUGAUUUCCCAUCAUGUACUGCAUGCAGCAGAAGCCUCUUGUUUCUUGAUAAAAUGAGCUGAGAGACAGUCAGCAGAUAUUUAAACACUGAAUCUCUAGAUGUUGACUUGCUGUUCCACAUGAAGCUGUGUGUUUUCUGCAGUUAAGCAUGCAUUUUGCUGUUCCCCUUGUAAAAUACCAUCGCACUUCUUGCCUGCAAAAUGGAUUCUUGUGUAUAUAUUUAAAAGAAAAGUGGAACCAAUAACAAGAUUCAAUUUGGAAAAGAGAGAAGGGGUUGUGCUGAAAACGGGACCAGUAGGGGGAAUAGAGAAUUCUCUAAAUUGUACAUAGUGUGUAAAUUAGCAUUACUCUAAGUCUGCAGUCACUUUGAGGUUGCCUAUCUCCUGCUAGGAACUUAAAUCAGCUUUGAGUUGUACUAAACUGUUAGAAUUAGGUCUUGAAUGCAGACUGUUAAAGACUUCAAAAACAUUACGCUUACAAGAAGCUUCUGUUCUGGGGAGGCUUGAGACCCCUUUUGUAACUCUGGGGAAGAAAGGAGUGCUUUCAUUUUAAUAUGCAUUCUGUUUGUAAGUAGUAACAGACCCUAUUGAUGUAAAACUAUAACUGUGAUCAUGUGGAGAAAUCAAAUAAAUCAUUUAAAACUCCUCGUUUCUCAUUUCGUGUAAUCCAAGAGGUUCCAACUCCUCGGAUUUGAACUGAAGGGAAUUCCUCUCCAUGGUAUCCUGGCCCUGCUGAGGCGAUGGGAUUUCUGCUGCUCACUCCUCCAAGAGUUCAGUCCUCAUCCUAAAUUAGAGACCAGGUGGUGGAAAUGGUGCUCAGUCCCACGCAGGCUGACCCCUCCUCGAUAGGCUUUGAUCUGUUUGGUGGUGCUGUAAAUACAUUUAGUUCCAAGGGGCAGUGAAGAGCAAAACACACACAUUGACCAGAACACCCGGAGGUUGGACAGCGAGAGUGAGGUUUUGAACCUCGUGACACGUGAGCUUCAGCUGAGCCCAUUAAUCCUCUGGCUGUCACGGGCCCUCAGGAGCUCGUGGCUCAGGCUGCCCUUGGAGAGGUGUCAGUUUGUCCUUCCCAGGGGGACAUUCCUUGGAUCCCACGGGUAACCGACACCCUUGGCGGGAGUUCCCGGAGUGCCUUCUCCUCUAUGCCCACUGGCAGGGAUCCCUCACAGUGCUGGGACUGAGUAAGUACCACCCCCUCCCUGCCUGCCCCGUCUGUCUGUCCUGUGUCUCAGCUCACAGCAUGGAAGGGUCACUGGGAUGUAUUUGCCACGUGGCCAUCCCAGGAUUUGACGUGGCCCUCCUGCAGUGACUGGAGGGAACAACCUGGGAGAUGCUCCCCUGGUCUUAUUUUCCUGCAUUUCCUGCAUUUCCAGUGUGUCUGUGAAAAAGCUAUUGCUCAGCUAUCAGUUUAAACUAAACACUCUGUCUGCUUGUUUUUUUCUGUGAAUUUUAGGGGACUCUUGAAUUAUUUGGUGGAAAUAGUCGACUGGGACCUAUUUCUGAAUGGCUGUAAUUUCAGGAGGUGCAUCUUGGAUAGGUGUCUGUGUGCGUGCAGCAGUAAACACACUGAUUGCAGAGGUGAGUUCUCAUGCCAGAAACGACUUCAAGCUCUUCUAAGUAGCAUCUUUUUAAGAGGAGGUUCCUUUCCAGGUUUCUGUUGACUUACCAAACAGUUAAUUCUAUUU
Long non-coding RNA from Empidonax traillii (willow flycatcher), 2326 nucleotides. RefSeq lists it as uncharacterized. Lineage: Eukaryota; Metazoa; Chordata; Aves; Passeriformes; Tyrannidae. The record is from RefSeq and is a predicted model, not a curated record. The transcript is spliced from 3 exons.